GAUGUGGUCAGAGCCACAGAGACCCUGUCAGGGCGUUGUGCCUGUAAAACAGGAUGCUGCCAUCCAUCAGCAGCAGCAAUGUGGCCAUCUCUACCAUCGCCCUGACAGCAACAGUGUGGGCGCUGUCUUGGGGGAGACACUAGUUCUCUGCCUGUUUCAUCCUCCUCACUGACCCCUCAGGCAUGGCCACCAGAGCCCCAUGAGGUGCCGGGGGCAAAGGUACAGUCCCUGGCACUGUUUCCAGCUGUGUUCUUCCUGCUAACGGUCAGCCUUCAGUUGGUACAGCAGAACUAUGGACUGAUGGCUGCAGGACACAACUCAUUCAGCAGUUCCUCCAGGAACCCUGCGGCGUGGAGUCUUCAGCUCACAAAAGGAAUCCCUUGUCCUAGUGGCAUCAGUUCCGAGGGACUAGAGAGGCCUCUGAAGACCCGGAGGAGUCGGACUCUGGUUGGGGCUGCCACCCGAUGGAGUGACAGCGGAAGAAAUCAUGGCAGAAACACAGCCCAGAAGAUGUCAAUUGGCCAGCACCCGACAGCCAACCCAGAAUCGGACAGAGCCAGGCUUCCGAUCCACAGUUCCUAUCUGAUCAAUGGCUUCAGCUUCUUGGCACGACCAAGAGUGGAAAUUCCAUUAGUUCAAGAGUUGUCUUUUGCAGUGUUUAAAAGGUUUCUUAUUUGCGGAACGUCAGGAUGGAAGGAAUCCUCCAAGUGUUCUAUGCAGCGUCCACCUUCCAUAGGUUUUUGUAACUCCAAGUCCAGAGCUCUUUUCUAA
Molecule: long non-coding RNA, 771 nt
Filed under: Oryctolagus cuniculus (rabbit)
Lineage: Eukaryota; Metazoa; Chordata; Mammalia; Lagomorpha; Leporidae
Description: lncRNA (ENSOCUG00000037982.1)
Source: RNAcentral